Molecule: ribosomal RNA, 970 nt
Filed under: Lactobacillus gasseri
Lineage: Bacteria; Bacillati; Bacillota; Bacilli; Lactobacillales; Lactobacillaceae
Description: bacterial SSU rRNA
Rfam family: Bacterial small subunit ribosomal RNA
Source: RNAcentral
AGAGUUUGAUCAUGGCUCAGGACGAACGCUGGCGGCGUGCCUAAUACAUGCAAGUCGAGCGAGCUUGCCUAGAUGAAUUUGGUGCUUGCACCAAAUGAAACUAGAUACAAGCGAGCGGCGGACGGGUGAGUAACACGUGGGUAACCUGCCCAAGAGACUGGGAUAACACCUGGAAACAGAUGCUAAUACCGGAUAACAACACUAGACGCAUGUCUAGAGUUUAAAAGAUGGUUCUGCUAUCACUCUUGGAUGGACCUGCGGUGCAUUAGCUAGUUGGUAAGGUAACGGCUUACCAAGGCAAUGAUGCAUAGCCGAGUUGAKAGACUGAUCGGCCACAUUGGGACUGAGACACGGCCCAAACUCCUACGGGAGGCAGCAGUAGGGAAUCUUCCACAAUGGACGCAAGUCUGAUGGAGCAACGCCGCGUGAGUGAAGAAGGGUUUCGGCUCGUAAAGCUCUGUUGGUAGUGGAAGAAAGAUAGAGGUAGUAACUGGCCUUUAUUUGACGGUAAUUACUUAGAAAGUCACGGCUAACUACGUGCCAGCAGCCGCGGUAAUACGUAGGUGGCAAGCGUUGUCCGGAUUUAUUGGGCGUAAAGCGAGUGCAGGCGGUUCAAUAAGUCUGAUGUGAAAGCCUUCGGCUCAACCGGAGAAUUGCAUCAGAAACUGUUGAACUUGAGUGCAGAAGAGGAGAGUGGAACUCCAUGUGUAGCGGUGGAAUGCGUAGAUUAUAUGGAAGAAACACCCAGUGGCGAAGGGCGGCUCUCUGGUCUGCAACUGACGCUGAGGCUCGAAAGCAUGGGUAGCGAACAGGAUUUAGAUUACCCUGGUUAGUCCAUGCCGUAAACGAUGAGUGCUAAGUGUUGGGAGGUUUCCGCCUCUCAGUGCUGCAGCUAACGCAUUAAGCACUCCGCCUGGGGAGUACGACCGCAAGGUUGAAACUCAAAGGAAUUGACGGGGGCCCGCACAAG